Molecule: ribosomal RNA, 963 nt
Filed under: uncultured bacterium
Lineage: Bacteria
Description: bacterial SSU rRNA
Rfam family: Bacterial small subunit ribosomal RNA
Source: RNAcentral
GACGUAGGGGGCAAGCGUUGUCCGGAAUUACUGGGCGUAAAGGGCGUGUAGGCGGUGCGGUACGUUGCGGUUUUAAGCCUCCGGCUCACCCGGAGGAGGGCGGCUAAACGGCAGCACUAGAGGGCAGGAGAGGUGCGCGGAAUUCCUGGUGGAGCGGUGAAAUGCGUAGAGAUCAGGAAGAACACCGGUGGCGAAGGCGUCGCACUGGCCUGGCCCUGACGCUGAGGCGCGACAGCGUGGGGAGCAAACGGGAUUAGAUACCCCGGUAGUCCACGCCGUAAACGAUGGAUACUAGGUGUCGCGGGGGUCCACCUCGCGGUGCCGGAGCUAACGCACUAAGUAUCCCGCCUGGGGAGUACGGCCGCAAGGUUGAAACUCAAAGGAAUUGACGGGGGCCCGCACAAGCAGUGGAGCAUGUGGUUUAAUUCGACGCAACGCGCAGAACCUUACCAGGACUAGACGGGAUCGUGAGCGCCGCGAAAGCGGCGGGCCCUUCGGGGAGCGAUCGUCAGGUGCUGCAUGGUUGUCGUCAGCUCGUGUCGUGAGAUGUUGGGUUAAGUCCCGCAACGAGCGCAACCCUUGUCGUGUGUUGCCAGCGGUCCGGCCGGGCACUCACACGAGACUGCCGGUGACAAACCGGAGGAAGGUGGGGAUGACGUCAAAUCCGCAUGGCCUUGAUGUCCUGGGCUACACACGUGCUACAAUGGUCCCGACAACGGGCCGCGACGGCGCGAGCCUGAGCGAAUCCUUCAAACGGGACCUCAGUUCGGAUUGCAGGCUGCAACCCGCCUGCAUGAAGUCGGAAUUGCUAGUAAUCGCCCAUCAGCAUGGGGCGGUGAAUUCGUUCCCGGGCCUUGUACACACCGCCCGUCACACCACGAAAGUUGGCCACACCCGAAGCCGGGCGGUCCAACUGCCGCAAGGCAGAGGAUCCCGUCGACGGUGGGGCGGAUGAUUGGGGUG